Long non-coding RNA from Mercurialis annua (annual mercury), 147 nucleotides. RefSeq lists it as uncharacterized. Lineage: Eukaryota; Viridiplantae; Streptophyta; Magnoliopsida; Malpighiales; Euphorbiaceae. The record is from RefSeq and is a predicted model, not a curated record. The transcript has 2 exons.
AGACAAUAUGACGAUGAGCUUUGAUAGAAGCGGGGGGACCUGGAGGUCAAAAUGUGAAUAAAGUGAACACCAAGGUGGAUAUGCGCUUCAAUGUCAAGGAUGCUUACUGGCUCAGUGACAGGAUCAAAGAGAAGAUUAUGCAAAUGG